CNCCAGUGGCGAAAGCGGCUCUCUGNUCUGUCACUGACGCUGAGGCUCGAAAGCGUGGGUAGCGAACAGGAUUAGAUACCCUGGUAGUNCACGCCGUAAACGAUGAGUGCUAGGUGUUAGGCCCUUUCCGGGGCUUAGUGCCGGAGCUAACGCAAUAAGCACUCCGCCUGGGGAGUACGACCGCAAGGUUGAAACUCAAAGGAAUUGACGGNGGCCCGCACAAGCGGUGGAGCAUGUGGUUUAAUUCGAAGCAACGCGAAGAACCUUACCAGGUCUUGACAUCCCGAUGCUAUUCUUAGAGAUAGGAAGUUACUUCGGUACAUCGGAGGCAGGUGGUGCAUGGUUGUCGUCAGCUCGUGUCGUGAGAUGUUGGGUUAAGUCNNGCAACGAGCGCAACCCUUAUUGUUAGUUGCCAUCAUUAAGUUGGGCACUCUAGCGAGACUGCCGGUAAUAAACCGGAGGAAGGUGGGGAUGACGUCAAAUCAUCAUGCCCCUUAUGACCUGGGCUACACACGUGCUACAAUGGUCGGUACAACGAGUUGCGAGCCGGUGACGGCAAGCUAAUCUCUGAAAGCCGAUCUCAGUUCGGAUUGGAGGCUGCAACUCGCCUCCAUGAAGUCGGAAUCGCUAGUAAUCGCGGAUCAGCACGCCGCGGUGAAUACGUUCCCGGGCCUNG
RNAcentral lists this ribosomal RNA (676 nucleotides) under uncultured bacterium. RNAcentral's name for it is "bacterial SSU rRNA". It matches the Rfam family "Bacterial small subunit ribosomal RNA", at positions 707 to 1383 of the family's 1533-position model. The record is from RNAcentral.